UCCCAACCCCUGUGAACAUACCACUUGUUGCCUCGGCGGAUCAGCCCGCUCCCGGUAAAACGGGACGGCCCGCCAGAGGACCCCUAAACUCUGUUUCUAUAUGUAACUUCUGAGUAAAACCAUAAAUAAAUCAAAACUUUCAACAACGGAUCUCUUGGUUCUGGCAUCGAUGAAGAACGCAGCAAAAUGCGAUAAGUAAUGUGAAUUGCAGAAUUCAGUGAAUCAUCGAAUCUUUGAACGCACAUUGCGCCCGCCAGUAUUCUGGCGGGCAUGCCUGUUCGAGCGUCAUUUCAACCCUCAAGCACAGCUUGGUGUUGGGACUCGCGUUAAUUCGCGUUCCUCAAAUUGAUUGGCGGUCACGUCGAGCUUCCAUAGCGUAGUAGUAAAACCCUCGUUACUGGUAAUCGUCGCGGCCACGCCGUUAAACCCCAACUUCUGAAUGUUGACCUCGGAUCAGGUAGGAAUACCCGCUGAACUUAAGCAUAUCAAAA
This 491-nucleotide ribosomal RNA is filed under the name Fusarium oxysporum. RNAcentral's name for it is "eukaryotic LSU rRNA". The stretch from base 135 to 288 matches the Rfam family "5.8S ribosomal RNA". The record is from RNAcentral. Lineage: Eukaryota; Fungi; Ascomycota; Sordariomycetes; Hypocreales; Nectriaceae.